UAGGGAAUCUUCCACAAUGGACGCAAGUCUGAUGGAGCAACGCCGCGUGAGUGAAGAAGGUUUUCGGACCGUAAAGCUCUGUUGUUGGUGAAGAAGGAUAGAGGUAGUAACUGGCCUUUAUUUGACGGUAAUCAACCAGAAAGUCACGGCUAACUACGUGCCAGCAGCCGCGGUAAUCGUAGGUGGCAAGCGUUGUCCGGAUUUAUUGGGCGUAAAGCGAGCGCAGGCGGAAGAAUAAGUCUGAUGUGAAAGCCCUCGGCUUAACCGAGGAAUUGCACCGGAAACUGUUUUCUUGAGUGCAGAAGAGGAGA
Molecule: ribosomal RNA, 311 nt
Filed under: uncultured bacterium
Lineage: Bacteria
Description: partial 16S ribosomal RNA
Rfam family: Bacterial small subunit ribosomal RNA
Source: RNAcentral